Molecule: transfer RNA, 86 nt
Filed under: Asterophora parasitica
Lineage: Eukaryota; Fungi; Basidiomycota; Agaricomycetes; Agaricales; Lyophyllaceae
Description: tRNA-Arg
Rfam family: tRNA
About the family: Transfer RNA (tRNA) molecules are approximately 80 nucleotides in length.
Source: RNAcentral
GGCCGCCUGGCGAAAUGGCAUCGCGUCUGACUACGAUGUGCUUCAGUGUUAUCAGGAGAUUGCAGGUUCGACCCCUGCGGUGGUCA